CCUACGGGCGGCAGCAGUGGGGAAUAUUGGGCAAUGGGCGCAAGCCUGACCCAGCAACGCCGCGUGAAGGACGAAGGUGCCAAGCAUUGUAAACUUCUUUUGUCAAGGGACAAAAUCAGGCUCGAGAGCCUGACCGAGGGUACUUGAAGAAAAAGCAUCGGCUAACUCCGUGCCAGCAGCCGCGGUAAUACGGAGGAUGCGAGCGUUAUCCGGAUUUAUUGGGUUUAAAGGGUGCGUAGGCGGGCUGUUAAGUCAGCGGUAAAAGCCCGGGGCUCAACCCCGGCGAGCCGUUGAAACUGGCUGUCGUGAGAUGUCGAGAGGUAUGCGGAAUGCGCAGUGUAGCGGUGAAAUGCUUAGAUAUUGCGCAGAACUCCGAUUGCGAAGGCAGCAUACCGGCGGCGAUCUGACGCUGAGGCACGAAAGCGUGGGUAUCGAACAGGAUUAGAUACCCCAGUAGUC
Molecule: ribosomal RNA, 459 nt
Filed under: uncultured bacterium
Lineage: Bacteria
Description: partial 16S ribosomal RNA
Rfam family: Bacterial small subunit ribosomal RNA
Source: RNAcentral